GUCAGGGGUCUAGUCUGUAGACUGGUGGGGUCAGGUAGGGGUCAGGGGUCUAGUCUGUAGACUGGUGGGGUCAGGGAUCUAGACUGUAGACUGGUGGGGUCAGGUAGGGGUCAGGGGUCUAGACUGUAGACUGGUGGGGUCAGGUAUGGGUCAGGGGUCUAGUCUGUAGACUGGUGGGGUCAGGGGUCUAGACUGUAGACUGGUGGGGUCAGUUAGGGGUCAGGGUCUAGAUAGUGGAUUGAGGUGGGGGUCAGGUAUGGGUUCAGGGUCAAGAUAGUGGAUUGAAGUGGGGGUGGGGGUCAGGUAGGGGUCAUGGUCUAGAUAGUGGAUGGAGGUGGA
Oncorhynchus masou masou (cherry salmon) is the source of this 339-nucleotide long non-coding RNA. RefSeq lists it as uncharacterized. The record is from RefSeq and is a predicted model, not a curated record. NCBI's taxonomy places the organism in Eukaryota, Metazoa, Chordata, Actinopteri, Salmoniformes, Salmonidae. The transcript is spliced from 3 exons.